This 493-nucleotide ribosomal RNA is filed under the name uncultured bacterium. RNAcentral's name for it is "partial 16S ribosomal RNA". It matches the Rfam family "Bacterial small subunit ribosomal RNA", at positions 29 to 523 of the family's 1533-position model. The record is from RNAcentral.
AUUGAACGCUGGCGGCAUGCUUUACACAUGCAAGUCGAACGGUAACAGGUUAAGCUGACGAGUGGCGAACGGGUGAGUAAUGCAUCGGAACGUGCCCGGUCGUGGGGGAUGACGCAGCGAAAGCUGCGCUAAUACCGCAUACGAUCUGAGGAUGAAAGCGGGGGACCGUAAGGCCUCGCGCGAUCGGAGCGGCCGAUGUCAGAUUAGGUAGUUGGUGGGGUAAAGGCUCACCAAGCCGACGAUCUGUAGCUGGUCUGAGAGGACGACCAGCCACACUGGGACUGAGGCACGGCCCAGACUCCUACGGGAGGCAGCAGUGGGGAAUUCUGGACAAUGGGCGCAAGCCUGAUCCAGCAAUGCCGCGUGCAGGAAGAAGGCCUUCGGGUUGUAAACUGCUUUUGUACGGAGCGAAAAGGCUCUCUCUAAUACAGGGGGCUCAUGACGGUACCGUAAGAAUAAGCACCGGCUAACUACGUGCCAGCCGCCGCCGUAA